This 357-nucleotide ribosomal RNA is filed under the name uncultured bacterium. Its description in RNAcentral is "bacterial SSU rRNA". It matches the Rfam family "Bacterial small subunit ribosomal RNA", at positions 1026 to 1382 of the family's 1533-position model. The record is from RNAcentral.
ACGCUAGUACAGGUGGUGCAUGGCUGUCGUCAGCUCGUGUCGUGAGAUGUUGGGUUAAGUCCCGCAACGAGCGCAACCCUUACCCUUAGUUGUUUUCCCGAAAGGAUUACCCUCUAAGGGGACUGCCCCGGACAACGGGGAGGAAGGUGGGGGAUGACGUCAAGUCCGCAUGCUCCUUACGUCUAGGGCUACACACGUCCUACAAUGGGGUCGACAGUGGGAUGCAAAGCCGCGAGGUGGAGCCAAUCCCCAAACGGCCUCUCAGUUCGGAUAGUAGUCUGCAACUCGACUACUUGAAGUCGGAAUCGCUAGUAAUCGCAGGUCAGCAUACUCGCGGUCGAAUACGUUCCGGGCCUU